Molecule: unclassified non-coding RNA, 1716 nt
Filed under: Amphibalanus amphitrite
Lineage: Eukaryota; Metazoa; Arthropoda; Thecostraca; Balanomorpha; Balanidae
Description: uncharacterized protein K02A2.6-like, transcript variant X1
Source: RNAcentral
CCCAGCUCAGCAGGCUGGCAUGACACAUCACACAAGUAAGGCCUUGGAGGGCGGGAAAGAUAAGUGCUGGAGGUGUUUGAGUAACCGGCAUGCAGAAGAGGACUGUUAUUUUCGCCGAAAGAAAUGCUUUCAAUGUUUUCGUUAUGGACACACCAGUGCAGCCCACCGAGCUGGCACGGUGAACAGUGUGGGGAUGUUACCCGAGUCUGAGUCACAGGAGGGUGCCGAGGGUGGACUGGAGAUGGAAGUAGAGACUGGUGAGGUUGACGCUCUGGUUAGCGAUCUGUUCACAUGUGCAGAGGAGCGGCCGAGUCUGGUGAAGCCUCCAAUCAAGGUCGACGUCAGCAUCAACGGUCAGUCGGUGCAGAUGGAGCUGGACACCGGCGCCGCCGUCUCCGUCUGCACGUACCGCCGCUUCAAGGAGCUCUGGCCGGACGGAGACAGGUUGCUGCAGCCGAGCAGCCGUCUGCUUCGCACGUUCUCCGGUGAGAAGCUCUCAGUCCGAGGUGAGGCGUGGGUGAACGUGCUGUAUCAGGGUGUCAGUCAUCGAUUGCCAUUGACUGUGGUGGAGAGUAACGGUCCGAUGUUACUAGGCCGUAACUGGUUGGGAGAGAUCAAGUUGGACUGGCACAAUAUUUUUGCGAUGACUCUGAGUCCAGCCAUGGGAACACUGCUCGAAAAAUACUCCGAGCUAUUCAAGGACGAUCUGGGCUGUGCGAGGGAUGUAGAGCUCAACAUUCCAGUGGAUCCAGCCGUGAAGCCCAUCUUCUACAAGCCUCGGACGGUGCCACUCGCCUACCGGGAGAAGGUGGACGCCGAGUUGGAGCGGCAGAUCAAGGAAGGUUUGUUGGUGCCGGUCAAGUGGAACGACUGGGCGACGCCCAUCGUGACCUGCCAGAAGGCCUCAGGUGAGAUCAGAAUCGCAGCAGACUAUCGUCUCACAGUAAACAAGGUCACGCCGUUAGAAAAGUAUCCUCUGCCAAAAGUAGACGAGAUGUUCAGUAAACUGCAAGGUGCGACAGUGUACAGUCAGAUAGAUUUGAAAAAUGCGUACAACCAUCUGCCAUUAGAGGAGAAGAGUCGCAAAUAUUUGGCCAUAAACACACACAAGGGCUUGUUGGUGCCAACCAGACUGGGAUACGGGUACGCGAGUGCUCCGGCCAUCUUUCAACGUUAUAUGGAAACUCUCUUGGCUGGAAUACCAGGGGUGGGAGUGUUCCUGGAUGAUGUCAUGAUCGCUGGAAAAACCCCACAGGACCACCAGAACUCGCUGGAGGUGGUGCUACAGCGGCUGGUGGCGGCCAACCUGCGCCUGCAAAAGAAGAAGUGCAAGUUUGGAGUGUCAUCUAUCACCUACCUGGGACACCGCAUCAGCGCGGACGGCGUGAGUCCGACCGACGACAAGCUGCUGGAGACUUGCCAGAGCCCGGCGAGACUCUGCACCUGGUGGAGAUGAUGGACGCUUCGCCAGUGACCGCCGCUGUGGUUCGACUGGCGACUGAACGUGACGCCACCCUCAGCAGAGUGCUGCAGUACACCCGAGACGGCUGGCCUGAGGACAGGAGCGGCGAGUCACCGGAGUUAAGUGCAUAUCGCACGAAGCAAGGUGUCGGGACUGGCCGGCGUCGGCAGGACAACACGCUGGCUGCCCGGACACUGCAUCAACAUCUCGGGACUCAAGCUCACGGUCCGGCUGGACGACGGACGAGUCCUCCA